GACGAACGCUGGCGGCGUGCUUAACACAUGCAAGUCGAACGGAAAGGCCCUGCUUUUGCGGGGUGCUCGAUUGGCGAACGGGUGAGUAACACGUGAGUAACAUGCACUUGACUGUGGGAUAACUCCAGGAAACUGGGGCGAAUACCGGAUAGGAGCUCCUGCAGCACGGGGGGGGUUGGAAAGUGUCGGCGGUUGGGGAUGGAAUAGAGGGUUAUGAGCUUGUUGGUGGGGUAGGUGCGUACAAAGGCUUUGAAGGGUAGCCGGCCUGAGAGAGUGACGGGCCUCAUUGGUCCUGAGGUACGCCGCAGACUCGUACGUGACGCAGCGGUCGGGAGUAUUGCGCAGUGGGCGGGCGCCUGUUGCAGCAACGCCGCGUGCGGAAUGACGUCCUUCGAGUUGUGAACCGCUUUCGCCUGUGACGAGGCGUGAGUGACGGUAAUGGGUAAAGAAGCACCGGCUAACUACGUG
Molecule: ribosomal RNA, 468 nt
Filed under: uncultured bacterium
Lineage: Bacteria
Description: partial 16S ribosomal RNA
Rfam family: Bacterial small subunit ribosomal RNA
Source: RNAcentral